UCACUGUGUUUCAUUUACUGUGUCACUGAGGUCACAAAUCACUGUCUGAAUUCUACAUUGGAAAAACCCUCUCUAUGCAUCCCUUAAUGUUAAUCUGCUGGCAGUGUGACGUGUAAAGUUCGUCUGAAUAAGCAGCUGAGUCACUUUCAUGGUCAUGAAGGAAAAUUUACUGAGUCAACAUUUCUGUACCUUUGUCAACACAACAGAAUUCAGUGGUGUCAGAUGAACGUACAGGCUGCAGCAGCACAGUGUAUACAGAGAUGUAAAGUCGUGUUUUGUGCAGCUUUGUAAGAUGCAUAAAGAAAAUAAAAGUUACUAGUUUAAUAAACUAUGAAAUAUUGUGAAAGAAUCAUCUUUGAGUUGUUGAGACUGUUUUAAUAUCAGAUAGUUUGGUUUUCCUCUCACAGUGUAACUGCAGCACAAGAGGGUUAAAAAUCCUUCUUACAGUCAAAGUAAUAAUUUAACCACUAUAUUUUAUCAUUUUUUUACAGUUGCAUUUACAUUAUGAAAAAACGGAAUAUCCAGCAGCUUAUUUGACUGUUAUUUUUCUCUACAGAGCAUUGUUCAAAACAUUCUGUCUUCUCCAGAAAGUGAACACAGCAUCUAACCACAGUUCAAAGAGGGUUCAUCGUCUUCAUGCUCCUCUACAGAGAGCACUGAAAACCAAACACCAUUAUAUAAACCAACUACUGUUCCUGUCUGACACAUCACCUGCAUGUGUAUGUUGCUUUUACAGUAGCCUUAAAUAUGUACAUUUUGAUCCAAAGCUUUAACAUCCCAGUGGCUUCACACCCUCUCAUUUUUUAUACAUUUUGUUUUUAAAACAGUUUUUGUGCUGUUCAUUUAUGAAUGCUUAUUUGGGUGGGGGGUUGGGGGGUGUGAAGGAUAGCCAAGAGUUGGACAGCAGUGAUAACUGGAGACAGUAUUAUAAGCCUACAGAAGGAAACCAAGGUGAUCAUAAAUUAUACUAAGAAACCCCAAGCAGGCCCAUGAACCAGACUUCAGCACACCAGCAGAAAUACUGCAGUUAAGGAAAGGGGGGAUGUUUCUGUGAGAAAGGGAAGUAGUAUACACAUCCCUACAAAACAGGAACUGUAGGCAGAGUGUGUGUCGGUAAGAAAAAAAGAAAAACGAGCCCUUGAGUUUAUUGAAAAAGAAA
Monopterus albus (swamp eel) is the source of this 1159-nucleotide long non-coding RNA. RefSeq lists it as uncharacterized. NCBI's taxonomy places the organism in Eukaryota, Metazoa, Chordata, Actinopteri, Synbranchiformes, Synbranchidae. The record is from RefSeq and is a predicted model, not a curated record. The transcript is spliced from 2 exons.